RNAcentral lists this ribosomal RNA (497 nucleotides) under uncultured bacterium. RNAcentral's name for it is "partial 16S ribosomal RNA". It matches the Rfam family "Bacterial small subunit ribosomal RNA", at positions 28 to 507 of the family's 1533-position model. The record is from RNAcentral.
GAUGAACGCUGGCGGCGUGCCUAAUACAUGCAAGUCGAGCGAACAGACGAGGAGCUUGCUCCUCUGACGUUAGCGGCGGACGGGUGAGUAACACGUGGAUAACCUACCUAUAAGACUGGGAUAACUUCGGGAAACCGGAGCUAAUACCGGAUAAUAUAUUGAACCGCAUGGUUCAAUAGUGAAAGACGGUUUUGCUGUCACUUAUAGAUGGAUCCGCGCCGCAUUAGCUAGUUGGUAAGGUAACGGCUUACCAAGGCAACGAUGCGUAGCCGACCGGAGAGGUGGAUCGGCCACACUGGAACUGAGACACGGGCCAGCCUCCUACGGGAUGCAGCAGUAGGGAAUCUUCCGCAAUGGGCGAAAGCCUGACGGAGCAAGCCCGCGUGAGUGAUGAAGGUCUUCGGAUCGUAAAACUCUGUUAUGAGGGAAGAACAAAUGUGUAAGUAACUAUGCACGUCUUGACGGUACCUAAUCAGAAAGCCACGGCUAACUACGUG